CCCAUCCUUCCCUCCACCCUCCUAAGCACCCUCUCCCCUUCCAUCCUCCCACCCCUCCCUCCCUUUCUCCCUCUCCAUCUCCCCAUCCUUUCCUCUGCUCCCUCCAUCACCCCCAUGCCCCCUCCCUCCCUCUUUUUCUCCCUCCCUCUCGAUUUGUCCCUCUCCCCUCUCUCCUCCGACCCUCUCUCCCACUGCCUCCUUCCCCCCAUCCCCACCUUUCCUUCACCUGGCUCAGGAUGUGACAUGAGUUGGGGGGGGCUCAGUUCUUGUGAGACAAUUCUGGCGGGGCUCAGCCCCCAUGACAUGUAACUGGGGGGUCCCAGACCCCACGACAUCAGUUGGGGGGGGGGGGUCUCAGACCCCAUUACUUCAACCUGGGGGCUCUCAGCCCCCCUUCCAUGAGUCCGGGGGUUCUGAAACCCUCUGCCGUGAGCUUUAGGUGGGCUCUCUGCCCCCACACCACGAGUCUGGGCAGGACAGAGGUUGCAGCUCAUUGAGCCCAGGAUGGAAACACCCCCAUCCCCAUGCCAGGGUGGGGGACACCCCCGGCCCCCCCCGGCCCCCCACACCCUGCGGUCACCACGCAGCAGUGGGGCCGGGGGCUGAGCAGCCCUUCAAAGGGAGAGAACCAUCCGCAAAUGGUUUCCAUGUGUGUGGGGGGAGUGGGGGCACUGGGAGGGGGGAGUGCUGGGAACGUGGCACUGGGAAUGGGGACUGGGAAUACUGGGGAUGGAGAAUGGGAGCACCCAGAAUGGGAACUGGGAGGGCUGGGGACGGGAACUGGAAAUACUGGGAAUGGACAAUGGGAGAAUCCAGAAUGGGGACUGGGAGCACUGGGAAUGGGGAGCACUGGGGGCACUGGGAAUGGGGACUGGGGGCACUGGGAAUGGGGAGCACUGGGGUGGUCCCCGUGCCCCUUUAUCCAUCCCAAGGCCCCCAUUCCUCAUCCCAGUACCCCCCCCCCAGCAUCCAGACUGGUCCCUGUGCCCCCAGCCCCGCUCCCAGUGCCCUCUAUGGUCCGUGUCCACACAGCUGUGCCUCAGUCCCUGUCCUGCGUCCCUAAUACUGAUGUGGGAUGAGGACAGGGAUGAGGAGGGGGACGUGGGCAAGGGUGAAGAUGGGGUCUAGGGACAGGGAUGGGGACAGGAGCAGGACAGGGACGGGACAGGAAUGGGACAGAUGGGAUGGGACAAUAAUGGGACAGGACAAGGACAGGGAUGGGACAGCCGGCACAUGGCAGGGCCAGCAGUAGCCGCCAGGCGGCAGCAGAGAACCGCAACCGG
RNAcentral lists this long non-coding RNA (1283 nucleotides) under Gallus gallus (chicken). Its description in RNAcentral is "lncRNA (ENSGALG00010025845.1)". The record is from RNAcentral. Lineage: Eukaryota; Metazoa; Chordata; Aves; Galliformes; Phasianidae.